UACGGAGGGUGCAAGCGUUAUCCGGAUUCACUGGGUUUAAAGGGUGCGUAGGCGGAUAGGUAAGUCCGUGGUGAAAUCCUGCAGCUUAACUGCAGAACUGUCGUGGAUACUAUCUAUCUUGAAUGUCGUGGAGGUUAGCAGAAUAUGUCAUGUAGCGGUGAAAUGCUUAGAUAUGACAUAGAAUACCCAUUGCGAAGGCAGCUAACUACGCGAUAAUUGACGCUGAUGCACGAAAGCGUGGGGAUCAAACAGG
Molecule: ribosomal RNA, 253 nt
Filed under: uncultured bacterium
Lineage: Bacteria
Description: partial 16S ribosomal RNA
Rfam family: Bacterial small subunit ribosomal RNA
Source: RNAcentral